Long non-coding RNA from Meriones unguiculatus (Mongolian gerbil), 1229 nucleotides. RefSeq lists it as uncharacterized. The record is from RefSeq and is a predicted model, not a curated record. The transcript has 4 exons. NCBI's taxonomy places the organism in Eukaryota, Metazoa, Chordata, Mammalia, Rodentia, Muridae.
GCCGCGGCCUCCGCCGCUGGGCGACGCUCCUCCCUGCCCGCCGUCGGCCGCAGCUCCAAGGGACCGACGCCUUUCUGUCGUGGUUCGAGGGGACUCUGAUCAAACGCUCCCGCGAUGCCACGGUUCUCAGGGUUCCUGCCCGGGGGUCACUCCAAUAACCAGGUGGUUAGUGAAAGCCCAGAGGGAAGCGAGCAAGCGGGAGCCUCAAGUUAAGGCUUUCCCGCUGGGCUUUGCCACGGUGGGUUGUGGAAAGAGCAAUCUGAGCAGAAAAGUUUUGUUUUUUGUUUGUUUGUUUGUUUGUUUUUAUUUUUUGCAGUUGACCAGUAAUAAGCCGACAACUUGAUCUAAGCGCCGUUCUUACACUGACGCGUGCCAAGGGUUUCUGUGCGUGGAUUCUGCUAAAUUGAAACGCAGAGUGGUGGGGCCUCCGUUGUGUUAGUUACCCACCCUGUCUCGCAUCGAAUUCACUCACUACACACACCUGAUACGCUCUCUGUCCUUUUUCUGGGACAGCCGGAUGUUACCCCAUUUUAAAGGAUCUCAUCAAGCUGUGAAUGUUUCCUUGAAAAACUGCAAGCCUAAAAUGGUUCGUACAGGCAAAAUAUAGAAAGAAAACUCCAGCAAGACGCUGAGAAAAUGGACGAUGUUACAAAGAGUUGCAUAGAGAAUGGAAGGCUCUUUCUGCCAACCCCGCUCAGCUGCACAGAAACACUGAAGCCAUGACAGGAAAAGCCUGCCUCUCUCUUGCUGCUAGCACAAAGUGUAGGUGAAGAAGAUGACAUCACAGAGGACAUCAAUAAGGCUGGACUGUCAUCUUCCUGCCACGACAGCAGCAUUCUGCCUAUUCACAGAGAAGAUCCCAUAACAUCAAUUUCUGAUUCAGAAUACAGCUGUCUCUGAGCACCAAAACCUCCAGAUACAUCUCCUCUUCCUAUGCUUAGCUGGUAAAAUACACUUUUCCAUCUCACGCCUUACCCCUCUUUUAACUCCAAGUUGAAGAAAACUAAAAGUUGAACUCAUAGGAUUUUGUAUUAUACACUUGUCUCAGUUAUAUUGCCUAAAUUACAAUUUUUCAAUAAAAUUAUGUCAAAUGUACAGUAUUGUAAAAAAAAGAAAAUACUGGUUAUGGUCCCUGUUCCCAAAAUGAAAGGACCCGAGUCCUGACCCCAUCACCAGUUCCACGACUGUGAAUUAUUCUCCUGGCUCAGCUUUGGUUUGCUGAUCCUGUG